Molecule: long non-coding RNA, 3232 nt
Organism: Salmo salar (Atlantic salmon)
Lineage: Eukaryota; Metazoa; Chordata; Actinopteri; Salmoniformes; Salmonidae
Source: RefSeq, a predicted model, not a curated record
GUUUAACUGUGUGUUGUGUACAAGGAAUUUGCCGAUUAGGCUACACAGCAGAGCAAACGCAGGCAGUAUUGGACGCGAAACUAGCUAACCACACACACCAAAUGUUGCCAUUCUGGUUGUAUUUAUUUAUUUUUAUUUAUUUUUUUAUCACUCACCUCUUUAAUUUUUGCUCGUCUCUCUUUGGUUUCCGGAUCGGAGGGCUCGUGCCCUGUUGCUCCGGGUGGCCGAACAUAUUCAAUGACUGUCCCAGAAGAAUCCGUGUGUCUUCUCUACACACACUGCUGGAUUGUCAGCGGCAGCCUUUCAGUCGGGAGCUUCAUGCAGGGAAACAUGCGCCGCAUGCCACCCACUCAACACCUGCAGCAACAACCCACCUGCUGAGUUCAGAGCUCUGCUACAGGUGACCGGAACGCCCCUCAACCCAGGCAGCCUGGAGAAUUCCAUGCACAACUCCGCUGCGCCGUGGUGUGGGACAAACCACUGACCUCUCCCCUCCCUUCCACUGAAACUCUGGGCCUCUCUCUUAGGAUGGUGCAGACAGAGGGGUGACGGAGUCAGGCCACCUGAAGGACUUUGGCAUUGAAACAUGCCUGAAGUGAUAAUUAAUAGUAAUUAGUAUCACCACAAGCAGCACUUAGCAGCAGCCAGUGUUCAGAAGUUGAGAGAGGAAAGUGUAAUUAUGCUCGCACAAGAUUGCCAUAAGUAUGUGCUCUCCCGCUGUACAUACCGUUUGAUUCUCUCACUUAUGUGACAUGUCAAAUGUUCUCAGCAGCACUGUGUGAUGAUGAAUAAGCUGCAUUACCAGCUGUACCAUAUACGUGGGCUGAUAACUGUGACCUGUCAAUAUACAAAUGAUUUAGCUGGAGUUUUUAGUCCCUGUCACAUCUGAAAUGAAUAUACUCUUCAAUCAGAGCGAGAGAUUCCACUUCAUCUGAGGUCAUAGGUACUUCGUUAUUCUGACUGCGCUCUAGUUUCUAGAAAAUAAACAUUCAAUAUGAGAGGGAAUGAAUAGAAAGCCAGGAGGUGUAAUUGUCAGGCUGAUGCAGAGCAUCAGUUUUAUAUGACUUUUCUGAAGAAUUAAUGAAUAUGAUAUGGCCAUAUUGUGACAGUUCACAACCCCAAAGCUGCAGGUGAAAACAAAAUGCUUCCAUCACAUUUCCAUUGCCUUCUUUAAUGAGAUUCUUCUUAGGCAGGCUUUCACCUUGAACAUUAACUUUGCAUGUUUUUAACAGCUGUGGUAAAGAUUCCCUGAAAAUGAUUGUUUCAUUUAUAACUUCUAACUCCAAGGACAAAAUCACACCCUGCAGGCAGCCUAUGUAAGUUUAAUGUUUUCACAUUUAUGAUUUCUGGACAAUUCUUAAAUGACACCCCAUUCCCCAUAUUGUGCACCAAUUUUGGCCAGAGUGACAUUUGUAGUAUUUUGUAUAGAACCAAAUAUUAUACCAGUUUAUAAAACAACUUUAAAAAGGAAUUGAGGGUUAAUCUUUAAUCAUUUCCCAUUGCAUCAGAAGUAGACAUGACAACAGUAUACUUUCCCAUUGGAAAUUCUAACCACCGCUGACAUCCGCUGUUAUAUUAUUCUAAUGAGAUUAUUAGAUGACUAUAUUAAUCCAAAUCACUUUACGGUACAUUGGCCUAUCAGUGCUUUCCAAAGCCAAAUAGUAUAGUCAGGUUUAAAUGGACUCUGACAUUUUAAGUCAUAUUAGCCAGCGUAAUAGGUUCAGCUCAGCUCAUCAGCAUUGGGUUUAGCAGAGUUCGCAUUGACAUUCCACACCAUGAUCCCAGAUAAGGACAAGACAACAGGACUGUUUGAUAUUUCAGACUAUGGACAAGAUGCUGACAAAUUAAACAGCCAAUACAGACCAGCAGUGUACUUGGUGGUUUUCAACCCACUUUCAACCCAGGUCAAAUUGAGGCCCUUUGCAUCAUGCUGGGAUCUAGUUAUGAAAUGACCCCUUCUAAGCUCUCGAAUGUACUCUGAAAAGCAAAUCUCAUUGAUGAAUUUGGGGGAUUAACAAUUGUCUGUGUUGGGAUACUUGGUGAAUAAAACUACAGUGCUCAUUACAUGGGGCCUACAGUACCUUCCCAGGACUGGAUUAGAAAGUGACUGAAAGAGUCCGCUGUGGGAGUGUCUCUAAGCAUUCAUUAGCAGGUCAGUGUUUGGUGCAGUAUUAAUCAAGGAUUGUUCACUUAUCCUCCAUAUGUUUGUAUCACACACACUCUGCACUGCUCUGUCUCACAACUGUACCGCUCUCCCUGUACCAGCAAUGUUGUAUAGCUAUGUGCGUAUGCACCUAUUUACAUUAGCUGUGCGAUAGAUGACAUGUCAAUGCAUUCUUUAUGAGGGUGUCCAAUAAACUGUAACAGUAAAAACCUGUUCCAUAUCUCACCUAUCAUAUCAAACCAUCAUAUCUUGAUGGCUGCAUUAAUGUGAUGAAUGGGGGUUUAUAGAGGAUGUCCAUGUAAGACAAGGCCAUGUGUGUUAAGCUAUCAAUUACCUGUCAUCUUAACGUCAAGUUUCAGCCAUUUUGGUUUUUCUUUGAGUGAAAUAUUACAAGACCUCCAUUGCAGCUCAACAAAGUUAAUGUGGCAAUCACAAUAAUUUUACUGCUGCAUUAAACUCUUGGGAAGAUCAUAAAUGUACAGUCAGCUCUUAUUAUGUCUCGAGUGCAACUGUGACGUGUUGUGCCUCUGAAUCGUUUCCGGGAAGAGUUUUGCCUGUUUUGACUGCUAACAUUGGUUGUCAACAGAAAUAAUUGAGAUACUACCAGAGGGUGAAAUAUGUAUACAGUAUGAGGAAGAGGCCAUGGACUAAACUGUUCCUGAGUAUGUUUGUGUUGACUAUGGAACUUUACCAAACCAGUUAUGGAAUGUCCGGGGGAAACAAAGAGGACAAAAAUGUGUUUUGAUGGCCAUAGACUGCUGAAUGUGCCAGCCGGUGAGAUGGAUUCGUGAGUUAAUACUUUGUUGUUUCCUGGUUAAACCAGGCCAAAAAAAUACAACAGAAGUAUAAAUGGUACAUUUAUCUCAUGUGUAUAAUGAUAGAAUACCACCCACAUAUCAAUUUAAACACUGCAACCUUGAACUCAGUUUGGUUUUAUUUAGCACAAUUGUCUGACAUGCCUUACCAUAACUGAUGAAUGAGUCAAUUAUGGUAAAACAAUUCUGUCUAAGCAUUCUUUGAACAAGGACUGCCCAGAACAUUAAAAACAUUAAAUUAUACACAAAGUGA